UUGGACCUGAUAUCAGGCAAGAUUACCCGCUGAACUUAAGCAUAUCAAUGACCGGGAGGAA
RNAcentral lists this ribosomal RNA (61 nucleotides) under Phytophthora cryptogea. RNAcentral describes it as "partial 28S ribosomal RNA". Lineage: Eukaryota; Oomycota; Peronosporomycetes; Peronosporales; Peronosporaceae. The record is from RNAcentral.